AAACAAUCUGACCAGUGACUCAUGACAGCCUGAGGCGCUACCGACAAAAUACUUUACCCGCGGCAAAACUUGAGUUAUACAUCAAAACAGGACAAACGAGAUAAAUCCUUUUACUCCACCCUCUCUCUUUCUCUCUGUUUAGAAAGUGCUCACAGUACACAGAAGAAUCAAUAGAAAGAGAAAGUAAGGCAGCCUAGAGCAGGUGCAAAGGAUUCUGUCAAGGAGGACACAAGCUCCUGUGUGAUCUUUCGUCUGUUGCCCUGGGAGAGCAGCUCUCCUUUCACCCAAUGCAGGGAUCAUCUGUCAGUGGCUGUUACAUGAAGACAUGUGACCUGAGUCUGUCUGCCUAUUUCAGACCAUUUUCUGAUCAAAUCGGGGCCAUCACAACAGUCUGCUGAGGGCCCCAAGCACCCAUCACCCUGAACCCCAGCAGGCCUGUCACACUGUCUCACUACCCUGAUCCUGCUCCUUCUCCUCCUGCCGGCCCCCCUCAGCCCUUCCUGGAGCCCCCAGGGGCCCUCAUUCUCCAUGGAGAGCAGG
Long non-coding RNA from Xyrauchen texanus (razorback sucker), 540 nucleotides. RefSeq lists it as uncharacterized. Lineage: Eukaryota; Metazoa; Chordata; Actinopteri; Cypriniformes; Catostomidae. The transcript is spliced from 3 exons. The record is from RefSeq and is a predicted model, not a curated record.